This 545-nucleotide long non-coding RNA is filed under the name Ananas comosus (pineapple). Its description in RNAcentral is "long non-coding RNA (ACOM_LNC016855)". Lineage: Eukaryota; Viridiplantae; Streptophyta; Magnoliopsida; Poales; Bromeliaceae. The record is from RNAcentral.
UGACAUCUAGUCCCUGAUUUCACACAUGUCGAGUUCUCUAAUUUUUCUAGGCUGCGUUUGGUUCGGGUAUAAGUAAGAACUGCUAGUUCCAGGGAUAGGUACAAGUUCAGGUAUAAGCAGGAACUAGACCAAUUUUGCGUUUGGAUGAAAAUUGAGUUAUUCCUAGGAAUAAGGUAAAUAGGUUUAAUGACAUUUCUAUACAAGUGGUCUUCCUACCACUACAUUGUCCAACCUAUGUUCAAUGUCACUAGGUUCAAUGUCACUACGUUCAAUGUUCAAUUAUGUUCUUUCUCUAUUCUAGUUGUCCACACCUAGGAUUCAUAAUUCCAUGACAUCUAGUCCCUGAUUUCACACAUGUCGAGUUCGAAUAAGGUAAAUAGUGUUUGGAUGGUUAGAUUGAAACAAAAGGAAUAAAAGUUAUAAUUUGAAAUUAAAAUUAUAUUAUGUAAUUAAUUAACAUCAAAAUAAUACUUAAAAUAAAUAAUAAAUUAAUUAUAAAUAAUAAUAAUUAUUUAUAAUUAUUAAUAAUUAAUUAUACAUAAUAA